This 306-nucleotide long non-coding RNA is filed under the name Sorghum bicolor (sorghum). RNAcentral describes it as "long non-coding RNA (SBIC_LNC016144)". The record is from RNAcentral. Lineage: Eukaryota; Viridiplantae; Streptophyta; Magnoliopsida; Poales; Poaceae.
UUCCUAUGUGUUUCCUUUUUUGACUUCUUUUUUUUUAUUUCCUCGGCAACGGUGCCAGAAAUGCUUGUUGACACUAGCUAACACCACUUAGAUACUAGGUUGUCAUCCCCAGCAUGGUGCCAGAUUGUAUGAAGGUAUUUAUGAAUGUAAUGGCUCUCUAGAAAAUAAUCUAUUCUAUCCGCAAGCACACAGAUAAAACACCUCAUUGUAGCAUUUCCCCAGGAAAGUAUUUCAGGUAUCGUUAUUUAUAAUUUUGCUCAGGAAAAAUGGUGAAAUGAAGAUAAGGAUUAAUCUAUCAAGGCAUAG